UGCGUAGGUGGCGAGCGUUGUCCGGAUUUACUGGGCGUAAAGAGCGCGCAGGCGGUCGUGCAAGUCGCGUGUGAAAGCCCCCGGCUCAACUGGGGAGGGUCACGCGAUACUGAUCGACUCGAAGGCAGGAGAGGGUAGUGGAAUUCCCGGUGUAGUGGUGAAAUGCGUAGAUAUCGGGAGGAACACCAGUGGCGAAGGCGACUACCUGGCCUGUUUCUUGACGCUGAGGCGCGAAAGCUAGGGGAGCAAACGGG
Molecule: ribosomal RNA, 254 nt
Filed under: uncultured bacterium
Lineage: Bacteria
Description: partial 16S ribosomal RNA
Rfam family: Bacterial small subunit ribosomal RNA
Source: RNAcentral